AAAUAAUAAUAGUGUCUGGCAUUAGAUGGAUCACCCGGUACCCAUAUAAUGUAUUGGCUUAACCUUGUAUUUCACGAUAAUAUAUUAAUAUUGUUCCCCACCAGGCAGCCCUACGUGUUUUUAUCACAAAUAUUUUAUACUUGUAGGUAUUUUACAUCAUCGAAGACAUCUACUACUAUAAUCAUAUAUUAUUGCACAGAAUAUUUAUAAAAAUACAUCUUAUUUCAUACUAAAAAAAAUAUAUUUUCCAUCGCGAAUCUCGUUUUUUCAAGAACACACAUUGAUCCGUUAGCCACUAGUACGUACGCGCGUGUAGUUUGCCGUAAAUAAUAUAUAUAUAUUAUAUAGUUUUUAAUUUCUCGUUCUCAACACCGAUCCACCGAUUUACGUAUUUUGAAAAGUAGUUUUCGCAUAAAAUAUCAGCUGUCGGUUGAUUAAUAUAGCGCCAGUGGUGCGCAAUUUUUUUUUGUUCCACGACCCCCAAUAUUAUUUAUUUUUAUAUACAGCUUAUAGUCAAUGAACUACCGAAUGAAUUUCGGUCGUUCUUGACCGUAAGCAUAUAAAGUCGGUGUAUUCAUAGGUAUUUUUGCCUAUAUUAUAGUUUUUUAUUCGCUUACCUUACAGGAAAUCCAUUGAUUCUAUAAUACUGGCUGCGGAUUCAUUCAAUCGAUCGUUAGAUGAUAUUAUGUGUACGUACAUAUAGACGUUAACUUUUGAGACUACCUACUUAAUAACAAUAAUAUUUAAAUGCUAUAAAAAAAGGAUGCAAUAAACAAAUAAAAAAUCACUUAAAAGUAAAAAUGAAAAGAAGUAUCUACGAUUAUGGUUUUUGAUUAACAACAAAAUAAGAAAAUAGUUGUAUGAACAUUAGUUAAUUUAUGGGUGAAUAUCUAAUGUCUAACUUCAAAAUCUCGUAAGCAAUUAAUUCGUCAUUCGGGAAACAGAAGCUACAGGAUUUUAAUGUUGAUAACGUUUUUUUAAACUCAUAUUAUAAUGGUUUUAGCAACCACCUGAAUAUUUUCCUAACAUUGGAUGACGACAUUCGUUUAUUAUUUUGAAUAAUUUUUUACUUACCUUUUGCUGGGCUGUAAAUGUUUUUUUGUGUUUCUGAAUGUUAAGCAAAGAUCUUCUAGUAUAAUAAUGAUUAAAAUUGGGAAAAAAGGGAAUUUUCGACAAAUUUCAUUUUUGUUUUAUUUUGUGUAAAUCAAAACUCGCGAAUAAUUUAUUAUUAAUUAUAGUUAUACAAUAUAUCCCCAAGAGCCGUUCGUUUUUACAGUAACGAAAUAUCAAUUACCCACAUAUAUUGUAUAUAAAAUAAAUAUAUAACUAUGUAUAAGAAAUUAUUACCUACUUCUGGCUACCUGCACAUAUAAGUAUACUGGAGGUGGGUGUCCCCACCAAUAUCUUGUCCGAUGAGGAGCUAAGCGACUUUUUUUUUUUAAGUAAUGAUGGGAUGAUGGGUGUUGGGAGGGGAUAGAUUUAUGAGACGGUAAGACGUGUGCCUCCAGCGGCAUAACACCUUAACACGACACUGUAUAUUAUAACGGCGGGCAACAGAACUAAAUCACUAGUCACUACCUCAACAAAACCAAUACAUCGCCGCUUUGUAAACCGUUAAAUAUUAAAUACACUCAUAAAGUUUAUUCUUAAAUGUGUGAAUUAGUAUCAACAUUAUAUUAUAUUAUAUAUAUUAAGUCGUGGAACAUCCUGUAGGUAUAUAUGUAAAUUUAAUGAUUCUUUUGCGAUUCAGGAGUAAGUUUUGUAUCACGUUUGUGUUCAAGCCAAUUACAUCUCAAUACGGUUAUUGAGGCCGGACAAGGUUUGGAUAUAAAUACCACUAUGGCGUCCAUUUUAUUGUUAGUAUACGUUUAAUAAGCGUAAGAUAUAAUAUCAUAUAAUAUAUAUAUUUUUAUCGUUAUACCCAGUGAAACUCUAUUUUGUUAUUUUACCAUAAGUUCCAACUUAAAUUAAAUUUUUUUUUGACUUCUUGCUCAGACAUUUUUCCAGUACACGAACACAUCGUGUCAAAAGUUCAGCUGAUAAGAAUUACACAAAUGCCCAAACAUAAAGUCUUACGGAUGAGGUCGACGACGUAACUAUGUAUUUUUAUUAUUUUACCCAUUCACAUUAUAUUCUAUGUGAUUUGUUAGA
This is a long non-coding RNA of Myzus persicae (green peach aphid), 2151 nucleotides long. RefSeq lists it as uncharacterized. The record is from RefSeq and is a predicted model, not a curated record. Lineage: Eukaryota; Metazoa; Arthropoda; Insecta; Hemiptera; Aphididae. The transcript is spliced from 2 exons.